AUUGAACGCUGGCGGCAUGCGUUACACAUGCAAGUCGAACGGCAGCGCGGGCUUCGGCCUGGCGGCGAGUGGCGAACGGGUGAGUAAUGCAUCGGAACGUGCCCAGUAGUGGGGGAUAGCCCGGCGAAAGCCGGAUUAAUACCGCAUACGACCUGAGGGUGAAAGCGGGGGACCGAAAGGCCUCGCGCUAUUGGAGCGGCCGAUGUCGGAUUAGCUAGUUGGUGGGGUAAAGGCUUACCAAGGCGACGAUCCGUAGCUGGUCUGAGAGGACGACCAGCCACACUGGGACUGAGACACGGCCCAGACUCCUACGGGAGGCAGCAGUGGGGAAUUUUGGACAAUGGGGGCAACCCUGAUCCAGCCAUGCCGCGUGCGGGAAGAAGGCCUUCGGGUUGUAAACCGCUUUUGUUCGGGAAGAAAUCCUCUGGGCUAAUACCCCGGGGGGAUGACGGUACCGGAAGAAUAAGCACCGGCUAACUACGUG
RNAcentral lists this ribosomal RNA (484 nucleotides) under uncultured bacterium. Its description in RNAcentral is "partial 16S ribosomal RNA". It matches the Rfam family "Bacterial small subunit ribosomal RNA", at positions 28 to 507 of the family's 1533-position model. The record is from RNAcentral.